GUGCUUGCUUCAGCAGCACAUAUACUAAAAUUGGGAUGAUACAGAGAAGGUUAGCAUGGCCUCUGCCCAAGAAUGACAUGCAAAUUUGUGAGGUUCCAUGUUUUU
Molecule: small nuclear RNA, 105 nt
Organism: Marmota marmota marmota (Alpine marmot)
Lineage: Eukaryota; Metazoa; Chordata; Mammalia; Rodentia; Sciuridae
Source: Ensembl